Long non-coding RNA from Coccinella septempunctata (seven-spotted ladybird), 227 nucleotides. RefSeq lists it as uncharacterized. The transcript is spliced from 2 exons. The record is from RefSeq and is a predicted model, not a curated record. NCBI's taxonomy places the organism in Eukaryota, Metazoa, Arthropoda, Insecta, Coleoptera, Coccinellidae.
ACUGUGCCAAACCUGUUAUCAGUACUGGAGUUUUUGAGGAAAAUGGAAGGAAAAUGGGAACAAUAUCAAGAAACACGAAUGCCAGUUCAGGAUUUGCAGAAAUGAAAGCUUCUUGAAGUCCAAGGAUAAAACAAGUGAGAAGACAAGCGGAGAACAGAAAUUAAAAAACAGCUAAUUGACGUCAAAAAACCGAUUUAAGAUUACCAGUGAGUCGUCAGUACUACAAG